Long non-coding RNA from Dreissena polymorpha, 1383 nucleotides. RefSeq lists it as uncharacterized. NCBI's taxonomy places the organism in Eukaryota, Metazoa, Mollusca, Bivalvia, Myida, Dreissenidae. The transcript has 3 exons. The record is from RefSeq and is a predicted model, not a curated record.
AUGUUAAAAAUACACGAUGGAUACUUAAAUAUUGAUGUUUACCUUUUUUAUUUUGAUAUUUUAUGGUGUAGAUUAACCUAAGUUAAUAUAACAAUCAAAACAGUAGGGCAUGGAAUGGCAGAUCAACAUUGUUAAUUUUCGGAUAAACUUUCUGGAUUUUGCCAAGUGAAGAACUCCAAUGAUAUACAUGUAGGGGCAUGUGUCCAAAGCUGAUCCACAUCAUAACAUACUGAUUGGGAAUAAUGACAUAGUACCAAAAGAUGUGCUUAUACUGUAAUUAGCAGAUCUUCACAAAUGAACCUGGCAGAUCCUGGUGCAACCUUACCUUACCAUGUUUACAUCUAACCGUCAGUUUGAGCUGUGUGUGGGUGGUAACACGGACUAUAUACAUGUAUUGCCCAGUAAUUGUCUUGUGAUGGACCUUUUUAACAUAUCAAGUAUUUAAUUGAAGACUUAAGAGGUCAGUUUUCAUCAAAGAAUUUAAAAAUACAGUUUUUUUUUGUAAGGGUGAAUAUGUGGUUAUAAUGGCAUUGAUGUAUAUCUUGUGUCUGUUUUUUAAUCAGCCUUUCAUCCAUAAUUAUGAAUAUUAAGCAUGAUAAAGUAUUUUAAGGGAAUAUAAUGUAGAAAUGUUAUGUUGUUUCUGCACAAGCUUUUGAAUACAAGAAGUUCUAUGUUCACUCAGCACUGUUUACACAUUGUCAAUGAAUUUGCUUGUUUUAGUUUCCAAAUCUGUCUGUCUCUAGCUCCCUGUGAAUAAUUUACUUUUUUACAUUGCAUCCAUUGAUUUUAAAUGGGGUGUAUUAUGCACAUGUCACACUUUUUUUACAAAAACAUCAAGGUCAAAGGUAAAAUAUAUGGGUCAAAAUCAUAACUUUUGCAAUAUUGAAGAUAGCAACUUGAUAUUUGGCAUGCAUGUGUACCUCAUGGAGCUGCACAUUUUGAGUGGUGAAAGGACAAGGUCAUCCUUCAAGGUCAAAGGUCAAAUAUAUGGGUCAAAAUCGCUCAAAAAGGGACAUUGUGUAUUGUGUUUUACAAACACAUACCUUGUUAUGUUAUGUAAUGGCCUUUCAAUCAUCUUAUUUUUUUAUGAAAUACGCUGGAUUUGUCUUUUCAUUUCAUCCAUGAUAUCAUUAUGUUUUUUUUUGCCUGUUACAUUUUGCGGCCCAAUGUACGUGUUAAGCAGUUUAACCAUUUACAACGGCAUUUGUGGCGAGGCUUACAGUCAUAAGGUUGGUCAUUACAUGCACUGCAUAUCAUAAAAUCGUUUGGCUUUUAUUGACAAAAUUUGCGAAAACGGUGUUAAAGACUAAACAUCACAAGUGUCGCAACUUCGUCCCCACCUGGGAAUUCAGAGCGCAAAUUUCAGAUUAUAGUGUGUCAGAU